AUGAACGCUGGCGGCGUGCCUAAUACAUGCAAGUCGAGCGAACGGACGAGAAGCUUGCUUUUCUGAUGUUAGCGGCGGACGGGUGAGUAACACGUGGAUAACUUACCUAUAAGACUGGGAUAACUUCGGGAAACCGGAGCUAAUACCGGAUAAUAUUUUGAACCGCAUGGUUCAAAAGUGAAAGACGGUCUUGCUGUCACUUAUAGAUGGAUCCGCGCUGCAUUAGCUAGUUGGUAAGGUAACGGCUUACCAAGGCAACGAUGCAUAGCCGACCUGAGAGGGUGAUCGGCCACACUGGAACUGAGACACGGUCCAGACUCCUACGGGAGGCAGCAGUAGGGAAUCUUCCGCAAUGGGCGAAAGCCUGACGGAGCAACGCCGCGUGAGUGAUGAAGGUCUUCGGAUCGUAAAACUCUGUUAUUAGGGAAGAACAUAUGUGUAAGUAACUGUGCACAUCUUGACGGUACCUAAUCAGAAAGCCACGGCUAACUACGUG
RNAcentral lists this ribosomal RNA (496 nucleotides) under uncultured bacterium. RNAcentral's name for it is "partial 16S ribosomal RNA". It matches the Rfam family "Bacterial small subunit ribosomal RNA", at positions 29 to 507 of the family's 1533-position model. The record is from RNAcentral.